ACGGAGGAUCCAAGCGUUAUCCGGAAUCAUUGGGUUUAAAGGGUCCGUAGGCGGUUUAAUAAGUCAGUGGUGAAAGCCCAUCGCUUAACGAUGGAACGGCCAUUGAUACUGUUAGACUUGAAUUAUUGGGAAGUAACUAGAAUAUGUAGUGUAGCGGUGAAAUGCUUAGAUAUUACAUGGAAUACCAAUUGCGAAGGCAGGUUACUAUCAAUAUAUUGACGCUGAUGGACGAAAGCGUGGGGAGCGAACAGGAUUAGAUACCCUGGUAGUCCACGCCGUAAACGAUGGAUACUAGCUGUUCGGAGCAAUCUGAGUGGCUAAGCGAAAGUGAUAAGUAUCCCACCUGGGGAGUACGUUCGCAAGAAUG
Molecule: ribosomal RNA, 367 nt
Filed under: uncultured bacterium
Lineage: Bacteria
Description: bacterial SSU rRNA
Rfam family: Bacterial small subunit ribosomal RNA
Source: RNAcentral